UACGUAGGGUGCGAGCGUUAAUCGGAAUUACUGGGCGUAAAGCGUGCGCAGGCGGUUCGUUGUGUCUGUGGUGAAAGCCCCGGGCUUAACCUGGGAAUGGCCAUGGAAACUGGCGAGCUGGAGUGUGGCAGAGGGGGGUGGAAUUCCGCGUGUAGCAGUGAAAUGCGUAGAGAUGCGGAGGAACACCGAUGGCGAAGGCAGCCCCCUGGGUUGACACUGACGCUCAGGCACGAAAGCGUGGGGAGCGAACAGG
This 253-nucleotide ribosomal RNA is filed under the name uncultured bacterium. Its description in RNAcentral is "partial 16S ribosomal RNA". It matches the Rfam family "Bacterial small subunit ribosomal RNA", at positions 524 to 776 of the family's 1533-position model. The record is from RNAcentral.